CAUAAUAGAUGCUUUGCUGAUCGCCCCCAGCUGCUCCAGAACACCUAGAUCUUAAAGGAAAUUUACUUUUUGGAUUGUUGUACUUGCAGGAAGUAGAGAAAAAUCUCCCAGGAACCCUCCUUCCUAAAGGAAGGGUAACAAAUUCCAAGCCAGAACCAGAGCUAAGAGCCAAGAGUGGAGAAUAAGCUGCAGAACGAGAUUCCUGACAGCAGCACUCUGAUUUGUAUUUGGGAUAGUAAACCUUGAGCCACAGUGAGGAAGGGGAGUUGAACAGAAAUCUCUGCAUCACACCAAAAUAGCGGCAGCCCUCCGACUCCAGCAAAAGCAGGUGCUCUGACUUUUGGCCUCACUACUGACGGAUGCAGCAGCUCAGGCCCAGCACUGACAACCAUCCACCAAACUCAGGUCGCCUCUGAGAGUAAGAACUGUGGGCUCUGAGUCCUCUCUGCCCCCAUCUUCUGCCCCUCAACAGUCCCCCGGAAUCUGGCCAGGCUUCUCUCCUGGGUGAGUACCUGUGUGACCUUGGCUAUUGCAUACACCAUCCACAGAGACUCUGCCCCUGGCAAGGCGAGCCCUCUCUGCACCC
RNAcentral lists this long non-coding RNA (586 nucleotides) under Sus scrofa (pig). RNAcentral describes it as "lncRNA (ENSSSCG00070011379.1)". Lineage: Eukaryota; Metazoa; Chordata; Mammalia; Artiodactyla; Suidae. The record is from RNAcentral.